UACGUAGGGUGCGAGCGUUGUCCGGAAUUACUGGGCGUAAAGAGCUCGUAGGUGGUUUGUCGCGUUGUUCGUGAAAACUCACAGCUCAACUGUGGGCGUGCGGGCGAUACGGGCAGACUGGAGUACUGCAGGGGAGACUGGAAUUCCUGGUGUAGCGGUGGAAUGCGCAGAUAUCAGGAGGAACACCGGUGGCGAAGGCGGGUCUCUGGGCAGUAACUGACGCUGAGGAGCGAAAGCGUGGGGAGCGAACAAG
This 253-nucleotide ribosomal RNA is filed under the name uncultured bacterium. RNAcentral's name for it is "partial 16S ribosomal RNA". It matches the Rfam family "Bacterial small subunit ribosomal RNA", at positions 524 to 776 of the family's 1533-position model. The record is from RNAcentral.